This 492-nucleotide ribosomal RNA is filed under the name uncultured bacterium. RNAcentral describes it as "partial 16S ribosomal RNA". It matches the Rfam family "Bacterial small subunit ribosomal RNA", at positions 29 to 507 of the family's 1533-position model. The record is from RNAcentral.
AGUGAACGCUGGCGGUAGGCCUAACACAUGCAAGUCGAACGGCAGCACAGUAAGAGCUUGCUCUUACGGGUGGCGAGUGGCGGACGGGUGAGGAAUACAUCGGAAUCUACUUUUUCGUGGGGGAUAACGUAGGGAAACUUACGCUAAUACCGCAUACGACCUACGGGUGAAAGCAGGGGAUCUUCGGACCUUGCGCGAUUGAAUGAGCCGAUGUCGGAUUAGCUAGUUGGCGGGGUAAAGGCCCACCAAGUCGACGAUCCGUAGCUGGUCUGAGAGGAUGAUCAGCCACACUGGAACUGAGACACGGUCCAGACUCCUACGGGAGGCAGCAGUGGGGAAUAUUGGCCAAUGGGCGCAAGCCUGAUCCAGCCAUACCGCGUGGGUGAAGAAGGCCUUCGGGUUGUAAAGCCCUUUUGUUGGGAAAGAAAAGCAGCAGGUUAAUACCCCGCUGUUCUGACGGUACCCAAAGAAUAAGCACCGGCUAACUUCGUG